CUCUUGGUUCUGGCAUCGAUGAAGAACGCAGCGAAAUGCGAUAAGUAAUGUGAAUUGCAGAAUUCAGUGAAUCAUCGAAUCUUUGAACGCACAUUGCGCCCGCCAGUAUUCUGGCGGGCAUGCCUGUCCGAGCGUCAUUUCAACCCUCGAACCCCUCCGGGGGGUCGGCGUUGGGGACUUCGGGAACCCCUAAGACGGGAUCCCGGCCCCGAAAUACAGUGGCGGUCUCGCCGCAGCCUCUCAUGCGCAGUAGUUUGCACAACUCGCACCGGGAGCGCGGCGCGUCCACGUCCGUAAAACACCCAACUUCUGAAAUGUUGACCUCGGAUCAGGUAGGAAUACCCGCUGAACUUAA
This 355-nucleotide small RNA is filed under the name uncultured fungus. RNAcentral describes it as "eukaryotic LSU rRNA". The stretch from base 2 to 137 matches the Rfam family "5.8S ribosomal RNA", at positions 19 to 154 of the family's 154-position model. Lineage: Eukaryota; Fungi. The record is from RNAcentral.